UCCAUUCUCAACACCGUAUCGAUUUCCAUUUCCAAUUAAGGACCUACCAAAGGUAGUCCAGCUUGUGCCGCCUAAGUGCCUGUGGUAGCCCGACAUCCCUACUCUUGGAAUGUGUCUGUCCCACUCGACCCCGUAGGCUUCUCAAUAUCGCACGAGCGAACAAAAAUCGCAUAGGCCAACUCCGGAGUGCCGGCUUGUAGGGAGCGACCCUCACAAGCAUGUGCGAAUGAGCACAAAUGGCAA
Molecule: long non-coding RNA, 243 nt
Filed under: Ananas comosus (pineapple)
Lineage: Eukaryota; Viridiplantae; Streptophyta; Magnoliopsida; Poales; Bromeliaceae
Description: long non-coding RNA (ACOM_LNC037095)
Source: RNAcentral